Molecule: ribosomal RNA, 254 nt
Filed under: uncultured bacterium
Lineage: Bacteria
Description: partial 16S ribosomal RNA
Rfam family: Bacterial small subunit ribosomal RNA
Source: RNAcentral
UACGGGGGGAGCAAGCGUUGUUCGGAUUUACUGGGCGUAAAGGGCGCGUAGGCGGCCAGCACAAGUCAGUUGUGAAAUCUCCGAGCUUAACUCGGAAAGGUCAACUGAUACUGUGCGGCUAGAGUGCGGAAGGGGCAACUGGAAUUCUUGGUGUAGCGGUGAAAUGCGUAGAUAUCAAGAGGAACACCUGCGGCGAAGGCAGCUCGCUGGGACGGUACUGACGCUGAGGCGCGAAAGCGUGGGGAGCAAACAGG